UACGUAGGGACCAAGCGUUGUUCGGAUUUACUGGGCGUAAAGGGCGCGUAGGCGGCGCGGUAAGUCACUUGUGAAAUCUCUGAGCUUAACUCAGAACGGCCAAGUGAUACUGCAGUGCUAGAGUGUGGAGGGGGCAAUCGGAAUUCUUGGUGUAGCGGUGAAAUGCGUAGAUAUCAAGAGGAACACCGAUGGCGAAGGCAGGUCACUGGGCCGCAACUGACGCUGAGGAGCGAAAGCAUGGGGAGCGAACAGG
This 253-nucleotide ribosomal RNA is filed under the name uncultured bacterium. RNAcentral's name for it is "partial 16S ribosomal RNA". It matches the Rfam family "Bacterial small subunit ribosomal RNA", at positions 524 to 776 of the family's 1533-position model. The record is from RNAcentral.